CCUACGGGAGGCAGCAGUGAGGAAUAUUGGUCAAUGGGCGGAAGCCUGAACCAGCCAAGUCGCGUGAGGGAAUAAGGCCCUACGGGUCGUAAACCUCUUUUGCCGGGGAGCAAGGGCGGGGACGUGUCCCGGCCCGGAUAGUACCCGGAGAAAAAGCAUCGGCUAACUCCGUGCCAGCAGCCGCGGUAAUACGGGGGAUGCGAGCGUUAUCCGGAUUUAUUGGGUUUAAAGGGUGCGUGGGCGGGCUUUUAAGUCGUCGGUAAAAUUCGGGGAUCAACCCCGGCCGGCCGUUGAAACUGGGGGCCUUGAGUGGGCGAGAAGAAGGCGGAAUGCGUGGUGUAGCGGUGAAAUGCAUAGAUAUCACGCAGAACCCCGAUUGCGAAGGCAGCCGUCCGGCGCCCUACUGACGCUGAGGCACGAAAGUGCGGGGAUCGAACAGGAUUAGAUACCCUGGUAGUC
This 459-nucleotide ribosomal RNA is filed under the name uncultured bacterium. RNAcentral's name for it is "partial 16S ribosomal RNA". It matches the Rfam family "Bacterial small subunit ribosomal RNA", at positions 338 to 795 of the family's 1533-position model. The record is from RNAcentral.